RNAcentral lists this ribosomal RNA (508 nucleotides) under uncultured bacterium. RNAcentral describes it as "bacterial SSU rRNA". It matches the Rfam family "Bacterial small subunit ribosomal RNA", at positions 791 to 1290 of the family's 1533-position model. The record is from RNAcentral.
UAGUCCACGCCCUAAACGAUGAGAACUAGGUGUUGGUCGCUAUAUGCGAUUGGUGCCGUAGCUAACGCGGUAAGUUCUCCGCCUGGGGAUUACGGUCGCAAGAUUAAAACUCAAAGGAAUUGACGGGGGCCCGCACAAGCGGUGGAGCAUGUGGUUUAAUUCGAUGCAACGCGAAGAACCUUACCAGCCCUUGACAUACUGGUCGCGGAUUUCAGAGAUGAUUUCUUUCAGCUUGGCUGGACCAUGUACAGGUGCUGCACGGCUGUCGUCAGCUCGUGUCGUGAGAUGUUGGGUUAAGUCCCGCAACGAGCGCAACCCUCAUCCUUAGUUGCUAACAUUUAGUUGAGAACUCUAAGGAAACUGCCGGUNAUAAACCGGAGGAAGGUGGGGAUGACGUCAAGUCUUCAUGGGCCCUUAUGGGGCUGGGGCUACACACGUGCUACAAUGGCGAUGACAAAGGGGCAGCGACUCCGCGAGGGAGAAGGCUAAUCUCUAAAAGUCGUACUCA